UGUGUGUGUGUGUGUGUGGUAGCUGUUGUAGACUGAGGAUGAGGGGUGUGUGUGUGUGUGUGUGUGGUACCUGUUGUAGACUGAGGAUGAGGGGUGUGUGUGUGUGUGUGGUACCUGUUGUAGACUGAGGAUGAGGGGUGUGUGUGUGUGUGUGGUACCUGUUGUAGACUGAGGAUGAGGGGUGUGUGUGUGUGUGUGGUACCUGUUGUAGACUGAGGAUGAGGGGUGUGUGUGUGUGUGUGGUACCUGUUGUAGACUGAGGAUGAGGGGUGUGUGUGUGUGUGUGGUACCUGUUGUAGACUGAGGAUGAGGGGUGUGUGUGUGUGUGUGGUACCUGUUGU
Molecule: long non-coding RNA, 341 nt
Organism: Oncorhynchus keta (chum salmon)
Lineage: Eukaryota; Metazoa; Chordata; Actinopteri; Salmoniformes; Salmonidae
Exons: 3
Source: RefSeq, a predicted model, not a curated record